RNAcentral lists this ribosomal RNA (726 nucleotides) under uncultured Paracoccaceae bacterium. RNAcentral's name for it is "bacterial SSU rRNA". It matches the Rfam family "Bacterial small subunit ribosomal RNA", at positions 56 to 829 of the family's 1533-position model. The record is from RNAcentral. Lineage: Bacteria; Pseudomonadati; Pseudomonadota; Alphaproteobacteria; Rhodobacterales; Paracoccaceae.
UGCAGUCGAGCGCACUCUUCGGAGUGAGCGGCGGACGGGUUAGUAACGCGUGGGAACGUACCCAGAUCUAAGGAAUAGCCACUGGAAACGGUGAGUAAUACCUUAUACGCCCUUCGGGGGAAAGAUUUAUCGGAUUUGGAUCGGCCCGCGUUAGAUUAGAUAGUUGGUGGGGUAACGGCCUACCAAGUCUACGAUCUAUAGCUGGUUUUAGAGGAUGAUCAGCAACACUGGGACUGAGACACGGCCCAGACUCCUACGGGAGGCAGCAGUGGGGAAUCUUGGACAAUGGGCGCAAGCCUGAUCCAGCCAUGCCGCGUGAGUGAUGAAGGCCUUAGGGUCGUAAAGCUCUUUCGCCAGGGAUGAUAAUGACAGUACCUGGUAAAGAAACCCCGGCUAACUCCGUGCCAGCAGCCGCGGUAAUACGGAGGGGGUUAGCGUUGUUCGGAAUUACUGGGCGUAAAGCGCGCGUAGGCGGGUUGUUAAGUUAGAGGUGAAAUCCCGGGGCUCAACCCCGGAACUGCCUUUAAUACUGGCAACCUAGAGUUCGAGAGAGGUGAGUGGAAUUCCGAGUGUAGAGGUGAAAUUCGUAGAUAUUCGGAGGAACACCAGUGGCGAAGGCGGCUCACUGGCUCGAUACUGACGCUGAGGUGCGAAAGUGUGGGGAGCAAACAGGAUUAGAUACCCUGGUAGUCCACACCGUAAACGAUGAAUGCCAGUCGUCGGGUA